CACACGACUCUCGGCAACGGAUAUCUUGGCUCUCGCAUCGAUGAAGAACGUAGCGAAAUGCGAUACCUGGUGUGAAUUGCAGAAUCCCGUGAACCAUCGAGUCUUUGAACGCAAGUUGCGCCCGAGGCCAUCCGGUCGAGGGCACGCCUGCCUGGGCGUCACGC
RNAcentral lists this ribosomal RNA (164 nucleotides) under Oryza australiensis. Its description in RNAcentral is "5.8S ribosomal RNA". It matches the Rfam family "5.8S ribosomal RNA". From Rfam's summary of the family: 5.8S ribosomal RNA (5.8S rRNA) is a component of the large subunit of the eukaryotic ribosome. The record is from RNAcentral. Lineage: Eukaryota; Viridiplantae; Streptophyta; Magnoliopsida; Poales; Poaceae.